GUUACACAGUAGUUUAAAACUUUCAAAUGAGAUCUACACGCUGAGGUUAAAAAAAAAUCAUCAAGAAUAUGCAGUGUUCAACAAGGUAAAACACAGAAUGUGAUUACAAAUUUGAAAGACUCUGGACAGAAAGGCUCCGGCAGUAUUCUCCACUAAACUCCUGCAUGUUUGUGCAGGCAACCGAUAGCUGGAAGAAGCAAUUUAUCAAAAUUUGUGCAACUUAACAAAAAUCAUCAUACCAUUAAAUAAAAAUGAACAUCGCAAGUUCCGUUUAAAGAAUACAACCAAAUCACCCUAACAACAAAGGAUACAAAAAUACUCCCAAGCAAUCCUUUUGGCUGGUUUGUACAAAAACAAAUGGCCAGGCUCAUGUUAGAAUAGAACAUAGAACUACUUCAUCUUGCCACCCCUUCACUCCUAUCCAGGAGGACCAAAAUUGGGAUUGCUGCAAGUUGUCCGAGAGAUUCGAAACCAAAUUUUCCAAAUGAUUAGCAUCCAAGAUUUGCAGGAAAUACAGAUGCACAGUUUUACAAGAAAACUGUACUCAUUAGCAAAGCACCUAUAAUCACAGAGGUUGUGAAAGAACCGAUAUUAUGGAGAUGUAGUGGAGGGCUGUCAGAACUUGUUGAAUUGGAAGAUGGGGCAAGCGAUGUGGUAUUCGUCAAGGUGCCAUUUCUUCCAGCACUACACUCAAAAUAGAAGCAGAGAGAAGAAGCUUCAGCAAAAUAUGCCGGGAAAUCAUGACUUUGAAGCAGAGUUUGAAAUUCAGAAAUAAAACAAUAAUGAGAUAUUGAGAUGGUGGAUGAGAAGAGAUGUAAGACAUUCUUGAUCAGAAAGGUUAGAUUUAAAAGCUUGGAUUAAUACCUUCCAGGAAAUUUACAAGAACCAUAACCUGCAUCAGUAAAACAGUAUUAGUGAUUCUAUAGGAAGCAAGUAAAGCCAGCAAACAAUAAGCAAAUGCAGACUAAAAACUUCCUCUGCUGCAAAUGUCUUACAAAAAAAUCCAUCUAGCAGUCAGGUUCUCCAAAAACUUGUUUGGCAGAAGGAACUAAAUGUUUUUACUUGGCAGAAAAAAGCCACCAACUCUAUAGAUCAUUUCAACAAGGAGUUUGCCCCCCAUAGUGACAGGCCACUCAUGGUUAGAUUUUCUCCACUGCCUUUCAGUUAGAUGUGUAAAGGUUUUAAUGUUCAUACAUCAAUUACCAAGUCUGUUCUGUUCUAUAGUUGCACUUCUCUUGAAGGAAAUAUAAACUCUUACUUGGGUCAGUGGUAGUUAUUGUAGCCACCCCUUUAAAAUCACAGGUCCCUGGAGACUUGCCCAUCUCCUGGAAAUAGGCAUUAAAGGCAUAUGUUGAAUGUGCAACCACAUUGUUUGGCUCAUAACAUGGUUGACCUUGCAAUAAAGGUGAGCAAUCAACUUUUCCUGGUCCACAAGCCCAAUCCAAUGCUGCCUGUAGCAUCUUUGGAUCAGCACCUUCCUUUGCAGCACAGUAAGUUUGGUUUGUUGUGUCGUUGGCCAGCACUAAUCCUGACCCAGUCAGGUGCAAUAUGUAAACAGGCUCUCCAUUUGCAUUAAAUAAUCCCCAAUUCUUCUCUGAGACUGGUCCAGGUUUCAUAUCCUCGUUGUAUAGCUCAUAAAUAUAUGUACUAACAGCAAUUCCAGGGUGUUUGGGAGUUCCAGUUUUGUUCAAAACAUGCCUGAUCAAAUUGCUGUUGUAAGUAUUGGCAUUUUCUAUCGUUGCAUCUGGCUCAUUAGAAUCACCUUUUGAUGGCCAGCCAGACUCGGUCACCAGGACAGGAAUGUUGGUGUAGUUUAAAAAAGCCAUAGCAAAGUAUGCAGCAUCAACCAUAGCAUCAAAGACAUUGGAAUAGUGGACUAGUGUAUUUGCAUCAACAGCUUCUUUGUUUGGAGCAAGAGGCUUGAGGAGUGCAUAAUCUAAUGGAAUCACGCCAUUUGAUUGCAUGUAGUCAUAGUAAGGGUAUAUAUUGAGCAUAAGGUAUGAGCCGGUCGACUGCAAGAAAUUGAGCAUGGGAACCAAAACAGGGUUCCAUGAGCGGUUAAAGAAAGCUUGGGAAGGUGGGAAGGAGUCAAGGAUGAUGGAGGAAGAAAUGGGUGUUGAAACUUUGAUUUGGCGAUCUAGAUUGGACGCCACAAGGGCAGAGUGAACGAACUUCAGGGCAUUGACAAGGACUGGUGCUGCAUUAGGAAGGGCAGUGAGAACCUCGGAACCCACUGAAAUGGCUGUAAUAUUGGUGGCUGGAUAAUGAGCAACAACAUUGUGGGAGACCCAAUUAGCUGCAGUGGAAUUUGACUGACCUAUGCCCAAGAUCUGUUCAUUAGGCACAGAGACCAUAACCUGAAUGCCAGUAUUUGCAAGGGCAACUAACAUCCCACGGUCGGCAGUAUAGAGUCGGACAUGCCUUAUCUGCUGGGCUUUGAGGAGUGCUACCACUUGAGUUGGGUGGGGCAUGUCAGAGAGGUCUGUUCCAAUAUUAACACCGACAAAUGGUGCUUCAUCAGCUGCUGCAACAACAAAAACAGCUAAAAGCAUGAGUAUAAACACCUCAGCCAUAGAUUCAAUCUUCAAAAACAUCCUCUCCCAAGAAUCUGAGAAAGAAAAAAAAAAAAACAAUAAUGUAGAGAGAGAGAGUGAGUGAGUGAGAAUAAGUAACCAGUAAAAGAAGGUGGGGCAAAGAUAUUAGAAAUAUAGCAAAUGUAAGGAGAGAGAGAGAGAGUAAAUGAAUGGAUUCCACUGAUCACGUGGAAAGAUUG
RNAcentral lists this unclassified non-coding RNA (2773 nucleotides) under Hevea brasiliensis (rubber tree). The record is from RNAcentral. Lineage: Eukaryota; Viridiplantae; Streptophyta; Magnoliopsida; Malpighiales; Euphorbiaceae.